GAGGCCCGGGAAGCUGGCCGGCUCUCCUCCUCACCUGAGAGCGGUGCCUACGUGGUCACCCCCUUCCACUGCACUGACCUGGGGUGAGUAGGCGUGCAGGGGCUGACUGGACUGCCAGG
Molecule: microRNA precursor, 119 nt
Organism: Equus caballus (horse)
Lineage: Eukaryota; Metazoa; Chordata; Mammalia; Perissodactyla; Equidae
Source: Ensembl